Long non-coding RNA from Calidris pugnax (ruff), 402 nucleotides. RefSeq lists it as uncharacterized. The record is from RefSeq and is a predicted model, not a curated record. Lineage: Eukaryota; Metazoa; Chordata; Aves; Charadriiformes; Scolopacidae. The transcript has 3 exons.
GGUUUGUGGUUUUCUCUUUUUCUUUCCUUUAGGGAAAGGAAAAAUUAAAUUCACCUUCUCUGCUUCAGCUCCAGGAGGACACUGCAGACCAGAAGGAGAUCAUGUGGCAUAACAACAUGUGAUGAUGGCAGAUAAAGACAUGAGUGCUGAUUCUUUGCUCAUGAGAUAAACCUUCUUUGUGGCAGUAAUAGAUGCAACUUGCAAACAGGAGAAGAGAUGAGCAUCCUUUUGUUGUCCUUUCACUCUGUUCCGGUUCCAGCUGCUAAUACACAAGUAAUAGAAUCCAGUCUUAAGAAAAAAUGAGACCCUGAAGGUAAAAAGCCUGAAAAGUUCAAUACGGAACUGUGAAUAAAAUGUAUUGAACUAGGAGCCCAGUUAAGGUUUUGGUGAAGCUUCUCAUGU